GACGAACGCUGGCGGCGUGCUUAACACAUGCAAGUCGAACGGAAAGGCCCUGCUUUUGUGGGGUGCUCGAGUGGCGAACGGGUGAGUAACACGUGAGUAACCUGCCCUUGACUUUGGGAUAACUUCAGGAAACUGGGGCUAAUACCGGAUAGGAGCUCCUGCUGCAAGGGGGGGGUUGGAAAGUUUCGGCGGUUGGGGAUGGACUCGCGGCUUAUCAGCUUGUUGGUGGGGUAGUGGCUUACCAAGGCUUUGACGGGUAGCCGGCCUGAGAGGGUGACCGGCCCCAUAUGGACUGAGCUCCGGCGCAGACUGCUACGGGGGGCAGCAGUGGGGAAUUUUGCACAAUGGGAGGACGCCUGCUGCGGCAACGCCGCGUGCGGGAUGACGGCCUUCGGGUUGUGAACCGCUUUCGCCUGAGACGAAGCGUGAGUGACGGUAGUGGGUAAAGAAGCACCGGCUAACUACGUG
RNAcentral lists this ribosomal RNA (468 nucleotides) under uncultured bacterium. RNAcentral describes it as "partial 16S ribosomal RNA". It matches the Rfam family "Bacterial small subunit ribosomal RNA", at positions 28 to 507 of the family's 1533-position model. The record is from RNAcentral.